This is a ribosomal RNA of Pteropus vampyrus (large flying fox), 138 nucleotides long. The record is from Ensembl. Lineage: Eukaryota; Metazoa; Chordata; Mammalia; Chiroptera; Pteropodidae.
ACCUUCUUAUAGUGCUUUCAAAAAUGGUAAUAAUUAGGAAAAGUUAAAAAUGUAUGUCUGAUCUCAGAAGCUAAGGAGAGUCAGGCCUGGUUAGUACUUGAAUGGGAGACCACCUAGGAAGACCAAGUGUUGUAGGCG